RNAcentral lists this ribosomal RNA (428 nucleotides) under uncultured bacterium. RNAcentral's name for it is "partial 16S ribosomal RNA". It matches the Rfam family "Bacterial small subunit ribosomal RNA", at positions 354 to 796 of the family's 1533-position model. The record is from RNAcentral.
GUAGGGAAUAUUGCGCAAUGGGGGAAACCCUGACGCAGCGACGCCGCGUGAGUGAUGAAGGCCUUCGGGUCGUAAAGCUCUGUUGCAGGGGAAUAAAAAAAUGAAGGUACCCUGUGAGGAAGGAUCGGCUAACUUCGUGCCAGCAGCCGCGGUAAGACGAGGGAUCCUAGCGUUGCUCGGAAUCAUUGGGCGUAAAGAGGGCGUAGGUGGCUUGGUAAGUCAGGUGUGAAAGCCCAGGGCUCAACCCUGGAAGUGCAUUUGAUACUGCUGAGCUUGAGUGUCGGAGAGGUUACCGGAAUACCUGGUGUAGUGGUGAAAUACGUAGAUAUCAGGUGGAACACCGGAGGCGAAGACGGGUAACUGGACGAACACUGACACUGAGGCCCGAAAGCGUGGGGAUCAAACAGGAUUAGAAACCCGAGUAGUCC